This 666-nucleotide ribosomal RNA is filed under the name uncultured soil bacterium. RNAcentral's name for it is "bacterial SSU rRNA". It matches the Rfam family "Bacterial small subunit ribosomal RNA", at positions 28 to 699 of the family's 1533-position model. The record is from RNAcentral.
AAUCAACGCUGGCGGCGUGCCUAACACAUGCAAGUCGAGCGAGAAAAGGGGAGCAAUCCCCUGAGUACAGCGGCGCACGGGUGAGUAACACGUGGGUAAUCUGCCCUGGAGUGGGGAAUAACACCGGGAAACCGGUGCUAAUACCGCAUACGAUCACAGAGUCUGCGGAUUUUGUGAUGAAAGGAGCAAUUCGCUCUAGGAGGAGCCCGCGGCUGAUUAGCUAGUUGGUGAGGUAAUGGCUCACCAAGGCAACGAUCAGUAUCCGGUCUGAGAGGACGGUCGGACACACUGGAACUGAGACACGGUCCAGACUCCUACGGGAGGCAGCAGUGGGGAAUUUUUGGCAAUGGGGGCAACCCUGACCAAGCAACGCCGCGUGGGUGAUGAAGUCUCUUGGGACGUAAAACCCUUUCGACGGGGACGAAGCCGCAAGGUUGACGGUACCCGUAGAAGAAGCCCCGGCUAACUCCGUGCCAGCAGCCGCGGUAAUACGGGGGGGGCAAGCGUUGUUCGGAAUUACUGGGCGUAAAGGGUGCGUAGGCGGUUCGCUAAGUUGGAUGUGAAAACUCUGGGCUCAACCCAGAGCCUGCAUCCAAAACUGGCGGGCUAGAGUUCUGGAGGGGGUAGCGGAAAUUCCUGGUGUAGCGGUGAAAUGCGUAGAUAUCC